CGACAGUGACGUGUGUUGCCGUAAAGCGUUUUUCCCGCCAUGCGGAGAGUUGAUGACGCGGCGCAGUUCACGUGGUUCCACCUUGAGCCCUCCUUCCAUGUCCGUGCGUCCUUGGACAUAACAGGAAUGUCAUGUCGUGAGGGUGCUGGAGCCUAUCCCAGCUGCAUGUGGGCAGAAGACGGUGUACACCCUGGACAAGUCUCCACUUCAACGCAGGGCCAACACCGAUACACAGCCCCCAAUAUACUAAUUGCUUGUAUUUCGUCAUGUGACUUCUUAUAAGAGGAGCUUGACAACGUAACAGCAGGCGUAAACCACGUUACUUAACUUUUACAGACUAAAGUUGGAGAAGAUGUUCAGGACAAAAGGUGGCAUUGCGGGACCCAAAAAGGGACCUUGUCGGGUUCACUAUAUAAGGCUUGCAGGGAGAUGGAGCCUAUCCCAGCUGACUUCAAGUGAAAGGCAGGGUCCACUCUGGACUGUUACCAGUCCUUCACAGGACACACAGACAGGGGAACAUUGAAACUAGACCAGACGUCAUCUGCUGCUUGAUAAAGUACCUUGGGGAGCCAACUACUGAAUGAAAGAACACUUACCAGGAUGUCAUCACUGAAUCGCUCCAAGAAGAAUAUUCUGCAUUCAGUGGCAGGACAUCAGCCAUUAGCCUUCACUCUGCUACUUGGAGACAUCAAAAUAGAGUUAGUAUUUUCUUAUUCUUGUGUCAAGAUGGCAUUGGUGCCUUUCUGACAUCACAUGUGAGACUGUGUGCUGGCUGUGGUUAGAGAAGACCAUCAAGUGUCCAUCUCCUUGUUUGAGUGGACACAGCAGGAAGACGUUCUCCACGCUGAGCUUCAUUAAGCUGCACAUGCACUUAACCUUACAUUUACUCCAUUCAUGAAUGUGUUAGUUUUUUUUCUCAACUACUUUGGAGGUCGGAUAAAUUGAAAUAUCAACAUCAUACGGCGGAAGAAAGACUCCAUAUUUAUAUGAUGGAGUGAUAUUUACUUCCACGGCUGCUGCUUAAUUCGACGUCCAUGCUCAAGGUUGGAUGUACUUUUGAACUUAGAACAAAAACAAGGGUGAUGUCAAAUUAGAGCUGCGAGAUUUACCGGUAUUUUAGAAAGCCAUAUGUAUUUCAGACAGUAUCGCUAUACCUUUUUUUUAUAAUAUUUUCAUGCUAUGUUACAGCGUGAAAUUAAUAACUAAUACGCUGAAACACAACUAACAUUAACACGCUAACAAUUACCAAGUGUCACAUAAUCAAUUACACUAUUUUUCGGAUCAUAAAAUGCUCCGGAGUAUACGUUUGAUCGGCCGAUAAUGCAUAAUAAGGACGGAAAAAAACAUAUACAUAGCACUGGAGUAUAAGUCGCAUUUUUGGGGUAAAUUUAUUUGAUAAAAUCCAACACAAAGAAUAGACAUUUGGAAGGCAAUUUAAAAUAAAUAAAGAAAAGUGAACAACGGGCUGAAUAAUUUUAUGUUGUAUGACGCAUAAAUAACAAACUGAGAACAUGCCUGGUCUGUUAACGUAACAUAUUAUGGUAAGUGUCAUUCAAAUAACUUUCACAUAGAGAACAUGCUUUUAAGAUUACCAAACAAUCCGUCACUCCUAAUCGAUAAAUCCGAUGAAAUCUUCUUCCUCGAUGUCGUUUCUAAACAACUCUGCCAACUCCAAAGGUAUGCGCCGCUUCCUCUUGUCGUUUUCUGCUGCAUAUUUCACUAGGUCCAGCUUGCAAUCUGCAGUACAUGAUUUCCUUUUCGGUGCCAUUUUUGUUCAGCUCUUCUCAGUUUUUAUAAUGAAAUGAUCCAUUUUAAUAGCUACGGCAGUAGCAUAUAGCAGUUAGCAAUCCAUGACCAAUAAUACACUUCUGCCAUGACCCUACCCCGCCAAAUUCUUAUUGGUCGAUGUGUGUGUGUGACGAUUGCUGACAUUUUCUUCGUUUCUUCCGCGAAUGAGAUAAUAUUAUUUAAUAUUUUACGGUAAUGUGUUGAUUUCACAUAAAUCGCUCCGGAUUAUAUGUCGCACCCCCGGCCAAACUAUGAAAAAAACUGUGACUUAUAGUCCAAAAAAAUACGGUACUUGGUAGGGCAUGGUGCAUGAGAAGAGCAGAGGUAUUGCAUGAAACAGCAUGAACAGAGCAUUAAAAAAAUCAACGACGACACCAGAACGACCAACUGAAAAACCAGGCUUAAAUAAUGACAUGAUUGAGACAGGUGCGUGAGUCCAAAACGUGAGACAGGUAAAACUAAUGAGUUGACAUGGAAACAAAACAAGAGGGUGAAAAAACAGGAACCAUUGGCGUUUUAAACGAACAAAACAUAACUAAACAAAACAUGAUCACAAGACAUGACAACAAGACAUACAAACACCAAACAAAAUAUAUAACACAGAAAAAUGUAUGAAACAAAAAACAUUUCUACAUCAAAUUUCUACGUCAAAUCUUCUAACAUAUUACCAUCCACAAGCAAAUGUUUUCCAUUUCAGUCAGUCAUACAAAGUUGAAGAUGUUAUAUUUUGAUGUUUUCGUAGAUCAUUUUGAUGAUGUUUAGGGACUGUUUGACCCUACUCCACCUUAGACUCGCCAUCAAAUAGUCCCUCUUCAUCAGCAAAAUGAUCUGCAAACAACACAUCCAAAUCAAACAUAUCCCCUUCAUAUUGAGCACAAAAACCACACAGAAUGGCUUUGUGGUCACUGAAAUAAGUUGACACCACUUCACAGUCACUUCACAUUGUUUUCACAUAAACAUAGUCAAUUAAUGUCCCAUUUUCUGUAGUCUCUUGUUACAUGCUGAUAAAAUCCAUUUUGGCCCAUUAAUUUACAAAUUGAUGUAUGUUUGAGAAGGUCUUCAUUAAAAUCUCCCAUUAUAAGAUUUUUUACCGAUUGGAUUUACCCAUUCAAGUAACUUAACCAGAUUUGAUUUAAAAAGUGAAUUUGGAUAAAAUGGCGGACGAUAAAUUACUGCCAUCAAAAUGUUCUCUCUGGUAAACAGGCACACCAAAGACUCCAGAUUUAAAUUGGGCACCUGCAGAAUCUCACAGUCCGAAUUAUCUACAACAAAGAAACCCACUCCGCCAUGUUCUAGAUCUUUUAUCUCAGAUAAUUUGACAUCAUUGCUGCUGUAACACAAGGCUCGAGGACGCCUGUGGAAAGUGUAUCCCUCCAUUUGGACUCAGUCUGUUGAGGAUUGUGCACUGAGCCACUUCUCUGUGACAGCAAUACAGUUAGGCUGUAAAUGCUGCGUGCAAGACACCAAAUGAGCGGCGUGGUAACUUAAAUUUCAAACGUUCAUUAAACACAAAAAUAAUUGUGAGUUUCUAAUAAAGGCUGUGGCUGUUCAAUUAGAAAUGGGGGCAUGCUAUCCAAUGCCUCCUUGACGAUGUCCUUGCAGUAAAUGGCAUUUUCCUAAAAAUCUCUGAUCACAAGUCCGGACAUAUCCCUGAGGGGCGACAUACGCCUGCCCAGCUGCAGAAACCCUGCCUAAACACACAACAGCCUCCUCUAGAGUUAGACCUUGCACUUUGUGAACAGUGCAGGCCCACGCGAGUUUAAGAGGAAACUGACGAGGCAAACCGCCACGUUUUUUUCGCCGAAUCCUCCACAGGAUCAAUGGCAGUAGAAUGCAUGCAUUCUACAGCAGCAUGGGAACGCUGCUUCCUCCUUUGUGAGCCUAUUUUUGAAUCGUCAAAUUUCUUAUAGACUGCGAGGGGUGAGUCUUUAUUUGCUCCAAAUUGAACAUAAGUCACCGUUCCAUGUGCGCCAUUGACCAGACCGUCUGCUACGUCAACAUUUUUGCAAAGCAUUACACGUGCUUUCGGAGCUUAACACAAACUCUUGGCCAAACACGUGUAUGGUGUUUUGCCGUGAUGCCAGACUAUGCGCUUUAAUUCGCCCGACUUCCUACUGUUAAUAAAAUCCUGGGCCUUGAUUGUAACAAUCUAGACAGGUUGCGAAUAACCGCUCCAGAUUAUGCGCGCUGGUUUGCAUAUUCGUGGGAUAAAUAUGCAAAGCUGCGCACUCAUCCCCCGUCUCCCGGGACUUGAGGAUAUCUACGUCGCUUUUCAAUAAUUGGGUUUGCUUUGACCGAACUCUAAGUCUAUUUAGCAGUUCAGAAAAUACACUAUCUUUUUGCCUCACAAUUUUUUUUAGUGCUACUUUUGUAAAAUGACACUAGAGGUCCACAUUCACCUGACUGGUGUAAAGUGGCCUACCUUUGACGGGUGGCAACUGAUAAAAGUCAUCGACAGCUACAACACUAAAGUAGCCAAAUGGAAAAAAGUCCCCCGUCUGUUUAAUUUGCCUUAACCGGCCAUGCACAUAAGCUAAAAGAUGAUCUACCAUACUGAUUUCGUCAAUGGUUAGAAUUUGUAGGUGACCAAAUUGAGCCCUCAAGGAGUUUAUCUUAUCUUCACCCAGAGGGAUAUACGGUAAACUUAACCUGCAUGCCAAUAUUGAAGGUGUGGUGAAUUGUGGCUGCAUGUAAAUUGUAUGCAGCUAAGCCUUUGGGAGCCGUUAAGAGUACGCAGGUUUCACCCGGUUGGUACAGACGCGACAAUAGUCUCCCUGCCUCGUACUGGAAAGCUCUAUCCAGUGGUUCUUAACCUUGUUGAUGGUACCGAA
Molecule: long non-coding RNA, 4619 nt
Organism: Nerophis ophidion (straightnose pipefish)
Lineage: Eukaryota; Metazoa; Chordata; Actinopteri; Syngnathiformes; Syngnathidae
Exons: 6
Source: RefSeq, a predicted model, not a curated record